Molecule: long non-coding RNA, 533 nt
Organism: Pan troglodytes (chimpanzee)
Lineage: Eukaryota; Metazoa; Chordata; Mammalia; Primates; Hominidae
Exons: 4
Source: RefSeq, a predicted model, not a curated record
AUGGCGCUUUUAAUGCUGUUUCUAAGAAAUCAUCACCAAACCCAAGGUCACCUAGCUUUUCUCCUGUGUUAUCUCCUAGAAGUCCUGUGGUUUUGAACCUUACAGAAAUUUGGUUGGUAACAUUAUAGAUACUCCUCAUGUGCUUGGAAUGCCUCUCAUUAUCUUCUUCAGGUUGCAAGGGCUCCAGAAUAGUGACAUAAAGCUCAUGGAGUCCUUCUCCAGCUCCCUUUCUUUCUGACAUCACCCUCUCCUGACAACUAGAGAAACCACUGGCAUGUGUGCAGUGAUGUGAUUAAAUCCAGUUUACACAGGAGAGGAAGAAAGUAACAGGUAUCAUCAUGGAGAAAUGACCCACAUGAGGGCUGAGACUCUCCAGCAGUUUCAGCAGAGGAAACUCCCUGAAGAAUGGAGGAGCUGAGAUCCCAGGCUGGGAGAGCAGGCUUGUGUUAAGCAUUACUUAAUCUUUAUGUGCUCCCUGCCCCAAUCUACCAGCCAGUGAAUGACAACUGACUGAGCAUAAAUACUAGGACUGC